This 266-nucleotide long non-coding RNA is filed under the name Homo sapiens (human). RNAcentral describes it as "non-protein coding lnc-PJVK-5:1". The record is from RNAcentral. Lineage: Eukaryota; Metazoa; Chordata; Mammalia; Primates; Hominidae.
UUCUUACCACGUUUUUUUGGAGGUGGGGGAAACAGUUGGUGAUGUAUCUGUGUUUUAUUGCCCAGCAACCUGAAAGGAUGGGGAUCGGGGAGAGUCGUUAAAGAGAAGCUCAGAUCAGAGAUACCUGACUGGAAGAUUAAAGUAAGCAAAAGCAGUAGCCACAUGAAACAAGGUUAAUAUGUGGGCUUACAAAGAAGUCCUAACCAUGAUUUGGUCUUUUGUAUGAUAAGAACUCUUUCUAGAAUAUAAGCAUCAUAAGAGUAGUU